RNAcentral lists this long non-coding RNA (1134 nucleotides) under Equus asinus (donkey). RNAcentral's name for it is "lncRNA (ENSEASG00005031045.1)". Lineage: Eukaryota; Metazoa; Chordata; Mammalia; Perissodactyla; Equidae. The record is from RNAcentral.
GCAAUCCUGAACCCAGGGUUGGGAGGGUUGUUUCUCAAGCUGUGAAAUAUGCAAAGCCUUAUGGCCAUUUCUGACAUAUGGUUAAAAAAUCUGCAGACAACACAUGAUCCUUGGUUGGCGUCAAGAGAACCACCUUCACCAAUUAGUCCAAUGAAGACAAACUCCUAGAACAAACAUCCUCUGCCACAAGAGCUGCCUGGAUGGGUAAAACUAGAUAACUGAAAGACUACAGACUUUUGAGAACGUAUCCCAAGACACAUGAUUACCAGCACCUGGUGUUCAACCUCCUCCUGCCCUGACUGAAAGUCUCCCACCAGGAAAUGACAAAGGCUGCCAGCCUAUUCAUUCUGGAGGAAUUUGAUGUCUCUCAACUGUUAUGUGCAAGUUGGGAAAUAAACUUCCUGCCACUGAAACUCUUCAAUGAGCAAAUACAAGUUUGUUCUUUGUAUUAACAAUGAGAAAAUGAUUUUCUUAAAACCAAACAAAGUAUUGUCUGGACAAAUGUCGGUGUGUUGGAUUAUGUUCCUAAACCAUCAAACAGUAGGUGUACUUCACAUUGCAGUUUUUCAAAGAUCCAUUGAGGAUUCAAGAAAGGUGCCAGGAAUAUAGAGGCAAAUAUGACGGACUUUGACCCUGCCUUCCUAGCACUGUCUGCUCCUGAAGGAGAGAAAGCCAUGUCUUCCACCUGUGUUCCUCCAUAUGAUGUGUCUUAUCUCAGGCCCCAGAAGGAUGAUCUGGAGAGGGUCUGGGCAAUGAAAAGGGAGUGAGCUUCUCAAGGGCACGUGGCAGAGCCAAGCUUGGAUUGCCUGGUGUGGCAGUCAACAACCACCACCACAUCCGAUGACUAAAAUGUAAGGGGAAAAAAAGAAGAAGAAAAAGAAGGAAGAGAUCAAGAAAUAACAAGCUCAAGGGAAACAAAACAGUACUUCCAGAUUCAAAUGUUCAACAUGAAAAGAAAAGAGACGAAUAUAUUGCCAAAUGAGAUCUAUGCAAAUCAUGUUCAAUAGAGCUCUCUGUUGAUUUUGAUGUGAAGGUAGGCUCGGAGCAGCAAAGCUAGUUCGUGUAGAGUGAGAGACUCUUUGCACCACAGUUCAAUCAACUGAAAGAAAAAAAAAAUGUGGAGGACAAGCAAGC